This 253-nucleotide ribosomal RNA is filed under the name uncultured bacterium. Its description in RNAcentral is "partial 16S ribosomal RNA". It matches the Rfam family "Bacterial small subunit ribosomal RNA", at positions 524 to 776 of the family's 1533-position model. The record is from RNAcentral.
CACGUAGGGCGCAAGCGUUGUCCGGAAUUAUUGGGCGUAAAGAGCUCGUAGGCGGUCUGUUACGUCUGCUGUGAAAACCCGGGGCUUAACCCUGGGCUUGCAGUGGAUACGGGCAGACUAGAGGCAGGUAGGGGAGAAUGGAAUUCCCGGUGUAGCGGUGAAAUGCGCAGAUAUCGGGAGGAACACCGGUGGCGAAGGCGCUGCUCUGGGCCGGUACUGACGCUGAGGAGCGAAAGCGUGGGUAGCAAACAGG